UUGAUGUUAAAGGUUGUAAUGUAGAAACCGAACGCGAAAUGGCGGGCCCCCGCGGACCCGCAACCGCGAGACCGCGAGCGCACAGGUUCGCGGCGCGACCACCAGGCGGCGACCGCGAGAACCGCGUAACUCGCGAGGCAAACAGCCUCAUACAUAUACCGCGCCGCGAACCGAGGAAAGGCAGAUCUACUCUUCCGAAGCGAGUCUCAUGACAAGCGACAACGAAAGUACGAUCAUCUGCAUUUCUGGGCUCCUACAAACUUCCUCCAACAGUGUUCGUCGGACGAGACGCGUACCGCGGUCGUCCGCAGGCCCUCCAGGCUCCACUCUUGUGAUUUUGAUGCAAAUUUUAGGUUUACGCCUCACUACCAGGAGGCGCUGAUGUCACUUCUCUACAUGCAUAGCUUGUAUCACUGAUUUUAACACACAACUAAAGAUAUCGUGACGUCAUGUUCCCGCGAAAUUUGUCGCCGCGUUUUUCAAUUGUUUCAAAAUUUAAAGAGACAAAAGAAAUAUGGCGCACAUGGUUGCACAUGGUGUGAUGGUGGCAGCGUAGGUGAUUGAAUUUCCAGUUUUUUCUAGGUGUUUAGGUUUGUCAAUAACUUCUGCUGAUGAGAUGCAGUAACAGGAGGAGAAGCUAGAAAUUAAAAAGAGGAAGAAACUAUGCAUCAUCAGAGGGUGUAUUAACGAAAACAGCAGGAUGUUCUCCUUCCCCUUAGAGAGAAAGGAUAAGAAGAGGAUGGCACAGUGGGUGGAAGUAUGUGACAACCCAAAGAAAUUCUGAAUGAUCUGUAGUAGAUACUUUAAAGAAAAAUACUUCAUGAGGAAAAGAUUAACAACAUCAGCAGUUCCAACACUGAACUUACUUGGUAAUUACUCUUAUGUAUACUUUUUAUAGCAUAUGUAAAUAAUUGUUAAUGAAAAUAUUUAUUACAGUGUCAGAGACUACCUCUAU
Molecule: long non-coding RNA, 955 nt
Organism: Osmia bicornis bicornis
Lineage: Eukaryota; Metazoa; Arthropoda; Insecta; Hymenoptera; Megachilidae
Exons: 3
Source: RefSeq, a predicted model, not a curated record